UUUUGAUUGGUAAAUUUUUGGUGAAUUGUGAUGAAAUAUUUGGAUAGAGCACAUCAAAUAUGACUUGUAGCAAAAAACCCCACCCAAUUUGGCCAAAUGGUUUGGAAGAUAUGCCACUUUGAAGUUCAAAAAUUUUUGAGAAUAAUUUGAUCAUAACUUGCCAACCAUAAGUGAUAAAUGAGUGUUCUUGGACUUUUUGGAAAGGUGAGAGCAAGAUCUUCAACU
This 225-nucleotide long non-coding RNA is filed under the name Lathyrus oleraceus (garden pea). RNAcentral describes it as "Pisum sativum (pea) long non-coding RNA (PSAT_LNC005411)". Lineage: Eukaryota; Viridiplantae; Streptophyta; Magnoliopsida; Fabales; Fabaceae. The record is from RNAcentral.